This is a long non-coding RNA of Teleopsis dalmanni, 568 nucleotides long. RefSeq lists it as uncharacterized. The record is from RefSeq and is a predicted model, not a curated record. The transcript is spliced from 3 exons. NCBI's taxonomy places the organism in Eukaryota, Metazoa, Arthropoda, Insecta, Diptera, Diopsidae.
AAUAGAAUUUUACAAAUUGUCAUAUAAAUUUCUGGAUCUUUUUUGAAUUCGAAUACUCGAAAGUGGAAGAAAAUUAAAAUUAACUGUCGUAUGCAACAACUCGCUAAAAAUUUGCCAGUGUUGUUAGCUUGAUUUUAUCAAAAUACAAUUGGCAUGUAAUAAUAACACAAAAAUCAUAUGGUAAAUUGAUUUGACGUUUUUUUCGUAGUUUGACGUUAUUUAGUAUGGCGGCGGACAACGUGGUGUCGGAGUUAAGCAAUUUGGUUUUAAACGAUAAAAAGGCAUGUUAAAUUGUUUAUAAUUUGUGGAUUAAAUAAAAAAUCUGCAUUAAACAAUACUUUAAAGUAAUGUUUAGUUUGGUAAAUGCUUUUAAAACAACGACUAAAUCUGCUGUGAAUUUAAGUUUACAAAUACAACAAAGUUGCUGUCGUGUUCAUAUUUUAAAGUCGCCGCGGGCCAAAGAAAAAUUUGUUAGAAAAGAAAGUGAAAGGUUUUCGUAUUUUUCAAAUAUUCAAAGCAGUUUAAUCACUCACAAAUGCAACUACGCAACAUUGGCAACUAAAAUGAA